RNAcentral lists this ribosomal RNA (254 nucleotides) under uncultured bacterium. RNAcentral describes it as "partial 16S ribosomal RNA". It matches the Rfam family "Bacterial small subunit ribosomal RNA", at positions 15 to 252 of the family's 1533-position model. The record is from RNAcentral.
GAUCAUGGCUCAGGAUGAACGCUGGCGGCGUGCUUAACACAUGCAAGUCGAACGGGAAACCUUUUAUUGAAGCUUCGGCAGAUUUAGCUGGUUUCUAGUGGCGGACGGGUGAGUAACGCGUGGGUAACCUGCCCUAUACAGGGGGAUAACAACCAGAAAUGGUUGCUAAUACCGCAUAAGCGCACAGGACCGCAUGGUCCGGUGUGAAAAACUCCGGUGGUAUAGGAUGGACCCGCGUUGGAUUAGCCAGUUGG